This 353-nucleotide ribosomal RNA is filed under the name uncultured bacterium. Its description in RNAcentral is "partial 16S ribosomal RNA". It matches the Rfam family "Bacterial small subunit ribosomal RNA", at positions 355 to 725 of the family's 1533-position model. The record is from RNAcentral.
UGGGGAAUAUUGGACAAUGGGGGCAACCCUGAUCCAGCAAUGCCGCGUGUGUGAAGAAGGUCUUCGGAUUGUAAAGCACUUUCGACGGGGACGAUGAUGACGGUACCCGUAGAAGAAGCCCCGGCUAACUUCGUGCCAGCAGCCGCGGUAAUACGAAGGGGGCUAGCGUUGCUCGGAAUGACUGGGCGUAAAGGGCGUGUAGGCGGUUUACACAGUCAGAUGUGAAAUCCCCGGGCUUAACCUGGGAGCUGCAUUUGAUACGUGUAGACUAGAGUGUGAGAGAGGGUUGUGGAAUUCCCAGUGUAGAGGUGAAAUUCGUAGAUAUUGGGAAGAACACCGGUGGCGAAGGCGGC